GACGAACGCUGGCGGCGUGCUUAACACAUGCAAGUCGAACGGAAAGGCCUGCUUUCCCUUGUGGAUUGCGGGUACUCGAGUGGCGAACGGGUGAGUAACACGUGAGUGAUCUGCCCCCAACUUGGGUAUAAGCCUGGGAAACUGGGUCUAAUUCCCGAUAGGACUGCAGGGUGGUGCCUGUGGUGGAAAACGAUUUUCUAGUGGUUGGGGAUGAGCUCGCGGCCUAUCAGCUUGUUGGUGGGGUACUGGCCUACCAAGGCGGCGACGGGUAGCCGGCCUGAGAGAGUGGACGGCCACAUUGGGACUGAGAUACGGCCCAGACUCCUACGGGAGGCAGCAGUGGGGAAUAUUGGACAAUGGGCGGAAGCCUGAUGCAGCGACGCCGCGUGGGGGAUGACGGCCUUCGGGUUGUAAGCUCCUUUCGACCGCGAGGAAGCCACCUGGUUGGAAGGGUGGUGACGGUAGUGGUAGAAGAAGCACCGGCUAACUACGUG
Molecule: ribosomal RNA, 494 nt
Filed under: uncultured bacterium
Lineage: Bacteria
Description: partial 16S ribosomal RNA
Rfam family: Bacterial small subunit ribosomal RNA
Source: RNAcentral